RNAcentral lists this unclassified non-coding RNA (341 nucleotides) under soil metagenome. RNAcentral describes it as "partial contains 5.8S ribosomal RNA, internal transcribed spacer 2, and large subunit ribosomal RNA". The stretch from base 1 to 120 matches the Rfam family "5.8S ribosomal RNA", at positions 35 to 154 of the family's 154-position model. The record is from RNAcentral.
GAUGAAGAACGUAGCGAAAUGCGAUAAGUAGUGUGAAUUGCAGAAUUCAGUGAAUAAUCGAAUCUUUGAACGCACAUUGCGCCCUUUGGUAUUCCAAAGGGCAUGCCUGUUCGAGCGUCAUUUGUACCCUCAAGCUUUGCUUGGUGUUGGGCGUCUUGUCUCUAGCUUUGCUGGAGACUCGCCUUAAAGUAAUUGGCAGCCGGCCUACUGGUUUCGGAGCGCAGCACAAGUCGCACUCUCUAUCAGCAAAGGUCUAGCAUCCAUUAAGCCUUUUUUUCAACUUUUGACCUCGGAUCAGGUAGGGAUACCCGCUGAACUUAAGCAUAUCAAUAAGCGGAGGA